GACGAACGCUGGCGGCGUGCUUAACACAUGCAAGUCGAGCGGUAAGGCCCUUUCGGGGGUACGACGAGCGGCGAACGGGUGAGUAACACGUGGGUGACCUGCCCUUAGCUCUGGGAUAAGCCUGGGAAACGUGGGUCUAAUACCGGAUAUGACUCCAUGACGCAUGUUGUGGGGUGGAAAGCCUUGUGCGGCUAGGGAUGGGCCCGCGGCCUAUCAGCUUGUUGGUGGGGUGAUGGCCACCAAGGCGACGACGGGUAGCCGGCCUGAGAGGGCGACCGGCCACACUGGGGACUGAGACACGGCCCAGACUCCUACGGGAGGGCAGCAGUGGGGAAUCUUGCGCAAUGGGGCGAAAGCCUGACGCAGCGACGCCGCGUGAGGGAUGACGGCCU
This 392-nucleotide ribosomal RNA is filed under the name uncultured bacterium. RNAcentral's name for it is "bacterial SSU rRNA". It matches the Rfam family "Bacterial small subunit ribosomal RNA", at positions 28 to 417 of the family's 1533-position model. The record is from RNAcentral.